This 1246-nucleotide long non-coding RNA is filed under the name Phasianus colchicus (ring-necked pheasant). RNAcentral's name for it is "lncRNA (ENSPCLG00000010273.1)". Lineage: Eukaryota; Metazoa; Chordata; Aves; Galliformes; Phasianidae. The record is from RNAcentral.
CCCUUAUGCUGAAGACACAGUGAAACAUUCAUAGCCAUUACAGUAAAACCCAAAUUCUGACUUGUUCCUGCACUUAGCUACAACCAGAUUACAAUUCUGGUUAGAGCAUCCAUCUGCCUAAAAAUAAACAUUCCUAAUGACCUUAAUGAGCUACAGAGCGAUCCUGUGUCGAAGUCUCUUCAUGGGAAAAAACAUGUCACUCUUUGGAAGGACCUGCUGCAAAUCCCUGGUGAGGAACAGCCUGCGGUCCUGGAAACAACCAACACGGAGCUGUAAACGUAUGGAGGCAGAGGAUAGAAGCAUGGAAUGACCUGGGUUGGAAGGCAUCAUCCAGAUCCAUCCCAGGUUGGAAGGGCCUUCGCAGCACCUCCAGCCCCACCCCCACCAUGGGCUGGCUGCCCCCAGCUCAGGCUGACCGGGGUCCAUCCAUGGCCUCGGGCACCUCCAGGGAUGGGGCAGCACAGCUCUGGGCAGCAGUGCCAGCGCCUCACUGCCCUCCCUGCACACAUGGAAGAUAGCUCACAUGAAUUAUCACAGGUAGAGGCAGCAAGAGCACUUUGUAGCUCUGAAGCAGUCCCGCCAGGUGCCACAGCUCUGUGCCUGCAAACCAGGCACCUGGAACAGCCCCAGGUGGGAGCAGUGAUGUGUGUGCAUCCCGCUGCCCCUUGGCCAGCAGUGCGGGGCAUUGGGCAGCCACGGCACCUCAGCGGGGCUGGAGGAAGUCCCACACUCAUAAAUGUUUCAUUGCACUUCUGAAAAACAGACGGCCACUUUUUAGCAGUCUAUGAAACAAUAUUGUAAACAGUUCAACUAUUCUCCCCUCUGGUGCUGGAAGCUGCGAGAACAAUGCGCAUUCAGGGACAGAGCUCUCAGCCUUGGCUGCUCGCUGAUCGCCAGCACAGCCACGGCGCGACCCGCCGCUCCGCUGCCACAGGGAGGGGACAUCGGGGCUGCAUGGACCGGCAUGGCUGUGCUUCAUGAGAGCACCCACAGUGAGCUGGGAGGAGUCUGCUCAGACAGCACAGUCACUGCGGGCUUCCAGAUGAGGAUCCACCACCCAAGGCAGUUUAAUCCCAAAUUCCUCGUGAAACAGUUAUGCCCAGCACAGAACAUUCAUUGCCUGCAUUCCUUCCCAGACCACCUCUGCUCUGUGCCCUACGUGUGGUGCCAACAGCUGCCGCUUGGACAACCUGCACCAACCCCACCGACCCCACCAACCCCACUGCACUGCCAGGGGCUGAGCUGA